AGGUUACUGCUAUCGAGGUUCGACUAAGCCAUGCGAGUCGAAUGUAGCAAUACAUGGCGUACUGCUCAGUAACACGUGGACAACCUACCCUUGAGACAGGUAUAAACCCGGGAAACUGGGUAUAAUCCCUGAUAGAUCUCGGUCGCUGGAAUGCCCCGAGAUCCAAAGCUCCGGCGCUCAAGGAUGGGUCUGCGGCCUAUCAGGUAGUAGUGGGUGUAGCGUACCUACUAGCCUACGACGGGUACGGGUUGUGAGAGCAAGAGCCCGGAGAUGGAUUCUGAGACACGAAUCCAGGCCCUACGGGGUGCAGCAGGCGCGAAAACUUUACAAUGCCGGCAACGGCGAUAAGGGAACCUCGAGUGCCAGGUUACAAAUCUGGCUGUCGUGAUGCCUAAAAAGCAUUGCAUAGCAAGGGCCGGGCAAGACCGGUGCCAGCCGCCGCGGUAACACCGGCGGCUCGAGUGGUAACCGUUAUUAUUGGGUCUAAAGGGUCUGUAGCCGGCCGGAUAAGUCUCUUGGGAAAUCCAGCAGCUCAACUGUUGGGCUUUCAGGAGAUACUGUUCGGCUCGAGGCCGGGAGAGGUGAGAGGUACUUCAGGGGUAGGGGUGAAAUCUUGUAAUCCUUGAAGGACCACCAGUGGCGAAGGCGUCUCACCAGAACGGACCUGACGGCAAGGGACGAAAGCUAGGGGCACGAACCGGAUUAGAUACCCGGGUAGUCCUAGCCGUAAACGAUACUCGCUAGGUGUCGGCCACGGUGCGACCGUUGUCUGGUGCCGCAGGGAAGCCGUGAAGCGAGCCACCUGGGAAGUACGGCCGCAAGGCUGAAACUUAAAGGAAUCGGCGGGGGA
This 850-nucleotide ribosomal RNA is filed under the name uncultured archaeon. Its description in RNAcentral is "bacterial SSU rRNA". It matches the Rfam family "Archaeal small subunit ribosomal RNA", at positions 21 to 875 of the family's 1478-position model. The record is from RNAcentral.